This 304-nucleotide long non-coding RNA is filed under the name Vigna radiata. RNAcentral's name for it is "long non-coding RNA (VRAD_LNC002748)". The record is from RNAcentral. Lineage: Eukaryota; Viridiplantae; Streptophyta; Magnoliopsida; Fabales; Fabaceae.
UGGUACAUAUGAAAAGGCAUUACAGGCAGUAUCGAAGGAGAAUAGGCUCUCAGAAAUAAGCCUCCGAUGAUACGCACUUUUAUUAUCUACUUUAAAUUAUUAAAAAUAGGAUUAAAUAUGUUUUUAGUCCCUGAAGUUUCACUGAAUUUUGGUUUUAGUUCUCGCAUGAAACUUUGAUAGCAUUUCAUCCUCAAAUUUGGUAAUUCUUACUUUUAGUCCCUACAAACAAACUCCGUUAGUGUGAACAGUGAUGUGGCUAACGGCUGAACCACGUAGUCUUCCACUAACUCACCAUUGCUUGCCA